CGGCUCAGCCCCUGCUGACAAGCCACUUAUCAGCAGUUAUCAGGUCUUGGCUGGAGCGUUCCCUCAAGAACCUACUCCGCAUACCUUCGUGCUGAGGAAAUUCCACAUCUGAGACCUGCGCCACGCCGCCCUGCUCUACCGGCCCAGGUCUCCUUCAGCAAAACAAACGUUAGCAGCAUUUAAGCCAUUACUCCGAUGCUGCCUUACAAGAGGCAGAGCGCAAGCGAGGAAUGGAAAAAGCCCUCACUGCUCACAGCGUUGCCCGAGAGGUUUUGACAGUAACGUCCACAGCACGAUGAGAAAUACUGUGGGAUUGGCACGUUUCCUUCCUGAAGGUUUUGCAAAACGCACUUCUUCUGCUGUGAAAAUCAAAGCCAGACUCAGCAUCAAACGAUUAAAGGUUAACUAAGACUUCAAACGAGCGCCGUGCAAUGGGUCAUUCUCCUACGGAUUAUGGAACACAAAGUAGCCCUCGGUAUUAAUAUCUGCAUUUAAUUACGGCCGUGUCUGAGGGUGAUGAGCAGAAAAACACAGGCUUUGUUACAGAUGUGCAUUUCGCUGUGGAAAUUCUUUGGAAAGAAAAACAUUGCUGCACCUGUUAGGCACCAAACGCCAACGAUUUCUCAGCACUAUGGGGCAAGUGGCCCACGUUUGGGGUGAAACGAAGCUGGAGUUGUUUUAAAAUAAGCACAAGAGUCUGCUAAAAUACAGUGCUUUUUUAUUCGAUGGGAAACAAGGUCCGCUGGCUCGGGAUGUGAGGAUGCAAACACAAACCAGGCUGGAAGAAAGCUCGGUGAAGUGUGCUGCGCUGCAGUUGGGUUUCUCCCAUAGCUCCUCCAGAAAGUUGGCCACUAGAAAAUGAGCGGCUGAUGCAGCACAGGGGAAAGCAACAUUCCUCCCCCUGGAAACCACCAUCUGCUUCCAGACACAUCCUCUUCACGCGCCUCUUCAUCCCUCACUAGAGCCUAAUCACAGAAGCCUUUUUAAUUAAAAGAGGUGGCUCAAUGCAUCUUUUUCCUAUUGAUCUGGAGUCAACAAGAAACCAUAAACCAAGAAAUUAAAAUAAUAAUUUAUAGCCUCUGGCCUGACUGCCUGUUAGCUCUGUUUGCCAUAUUGUACACAAUGGUUUCCUGCCUCUGCCAGUAUAUAAACUCAAUACAAGAGCUCCAAAAAGGGAGAGGAGAAAAAAAAAGCCAAACCCCCCACACACAACCCUAUAAGGCUUCCUCUAGAAACCAGCUCUGAGGAUGGUUUUCAGCUCACCCUUUGUCUGAUCUGGGGCCAACCCUCAGUUCCAAUCAUAACAGAAAACAGCGAAGAUGAAAGGCCAAACUCCAUUUCUUUCCAACUUGAGCCAGGUGUACAGCUGGCACCAGCAGCCUCCAAUGGAAACAUGUUCCAGUGAAGACAUGUUAAAGCAAUAAAAAGAAAAUGAGUAACAUGUGGCUAAAAACAUCUAUUCGUUUCGCUUAUUUUCUAUAAAUGAAUUUUCCCAGGGCAGCGUUUGGGGGUUUCUUUAAACAGUGCUCAGUUCCAUAGGCGUUACAGGGUUUCCAAGACAGUGUGAUCCCUCUGAGAGGUUUGAAAUGCCAGCAAGUACGUCUCUUAUAAACUAAUAGGCUAUUAUUUACAAUUGUGAGUGGCUCAAAUAGCCGAUUUAAAACCUUCAAAUGACAAAAAUUCCUCUGAGGCAAGAUGCCAAAGUUGAGCAAACAAUUUGUACGGUAUGUUAAGUGUAGGGGGAAGCCAUAGAGCUUGUAAUGAAGUCGUGUCUUGUGUUUCCAAUCAGAGGCAGGCAGGACGAAAUGCAUUAUGGCAAGCUACUGAGUGCAACAACAAACCACGGGGGGUGGGGGAGGAGGAAGGGGGAAGCAAGGUUGGAUUAAAAUAUAAUUUCUGUGGCUUGUUGAACAACAUGACGUAGCUAGUCCUCGGUAUGCAGAGGAUGGGUGCUUGCAAAGAGCACAGAGCCAUCUGCUGCUCGUCAGAUUCCAAAGCAAUUACAGAAUCUGUGUGUUUUGAUUGGUUUUUGUGGGUUUUUUCCCCCAGUUCACUUGCCCAGCCUAUACAGCAAAACCCACAAGCGACAGCAUGAGACAGAGCACUGAAAUGAGGGCAACCCCCCGCUGACAUUUCAGAGCAAGGUUCAAAGAACAGCUGACGUGAUGGGGCUAAAUGGGAAAGCAGAGGAAGAUCUCACAUAGACCAUCACCCCCAUCAGACUACAUGAGGCUGCCCACGAGGGCUGGGGGUUUGGGGUUUGGUUUUGGGGAGUUGUGGUUAGAUUUCCAUUUUGAAAUAAGAACAUCGAUUCCUCUAAGGACAACAGCUGUGCUUCCAGAAGGCAGCUGAUGCCCUGCCCUGGGAGCAAGCUGUGAUGAAGGCACAGUAAGAGAGAAAGGUGCAGGGAGCGAGCACUGAAGGCGCCGUACCAGCUUGCUCCCAGCACACACAUGGAUCCUCUACGGAUCAGCGUGGGAUUGCUAAGAGAUAACAAGGCAGGCUGUGAGGAGCACACCCCGAGGAGACGAAGCUGAGUCACUGCCAGAGCCCAGGGAGAGCCUCACCACCCAGAGAGCAGCACGAACAUAGAGGUAUGCAGGCAGCAAGCACUGAGAACAGCAUAUCUGUAUCGAAGGACAACAAUGGUGUGAGACCACAGUAGUUCCAAAGCAGCCAUAAGCCCGGCCAGAAGCAAUGAGCACCAACAUCCAACCCCCAGGAGCCUGCCAAAGCAACGGGCACAGCAAGCAAGCCAGGAACUGCUCUUGCAAACAGCCUCACGAGCAUUCCCCACAUUGGGGCAUUUCCCACGUGAGGCAUUCAAGAGAAAACUGUGCACAGAGCAGGGUCAGGGACGCUUCCCCAGGGCUUAGAGCUGAGAGAGCAGAGCUCAGGCCUUCAGCCCCAGCUCCUCCCAGUGCUCUGCAGGGGCCGUGGGAGCCCAAAGCCCAGGCUGGGGGAGCAUGUCUGAGCAUGUACAGCUCGGCUGUCAGGGACAUGCCAAACAUCCACGGCCAGGAGCAAUCCCAAAGGUUCCUUGUUGGCCUCAGCAGCUCUACUUCUGCUACGUCAGUGCAUGGCUACCCUCUCUUUUUCCAGGCAAUCCAAUCGUAUCUUAUCCAAGGAUAAGACAAACUACCCUUGAAUUAGGGGAAGACAUUGCAAAUAAUUCUAAGUACAAGCAUUCAGAAGUCCUCCUUCUCCUAAAUUGCUUAUGGAAAUUCCCAUUUCAUGUCUAUGUGUCUCUUUUCAAAGAAUGCAUCUCCCACAUCCUCUCCACCUCUUCAAGCCAUGGAACAUUUCCAUAGCAAGCAUCAGAGCGUUAGAGAGAAGUGCCCACACAAAGGCACAGAGGAGAACCACUUCUUCACAACGCCUUUUGGCCAGCUGUACAGAAUGUGCCAUACAGCAGGCAUCUUUCUUCCUACUUCAAUGCCUAGUAGCACUCAUCCUGGACGCUGUCAGCCAGGACACCUUCCACCUUGUUAUCUGUCACUGCUUCAGGCACUGAACUGUUCCAGGAGCACGGAUGAGUCAGUCUCGCAGACAAGCUGCAGCUGGGCUGGAUCUUGGCUUGUGUGGAGCGACAGGGGGCAGGGUGCUGUGCAAUUCAAUACUCACCAGCUCCCCUCUAUUGGGUCCGAGGAUUCCACAUUUAGCCCCAAUAACUCCAAAUGGCCCACGUGACAGCUUAAAGCCCUGUAUCUUACACCCCGGCUUCAGAUCAUUUGUGUGCUCCCAUCUUCUCACCUAUCCCCCUAGAGCACGUUCCCAGAACUACAUCUAUGAGUCACAUCCAUGCUCUGUCCCAGUGAGGCAAGCCAGCUGGCAGAGACCAAAUACCUUCUGCAGCCCAAGGAAAACCCAUCUGCAGCAUUUUUAAUCUCUCCCGGGCAUCUCUAUUUCAACAGAAAUUCCAGAGCAUCCCCAGUCAGAGAUGGGAAUACACCCCAUAACGCUAACCCAGGAAUGUG
RNAcentral lists this long non-coding RNA (3977 nucleotides) under Gallus gallus (chicken). RNAcentral describes it as "lncRNA (ENSGALG00010020621.1)". Lineage: Eukaryota; Metazoa; Chordata; Aves; Galliformes; Phasianidae. The record is from RNAcentral.